GACAUAUACAUGUAUUCCUUCCUCAUUUAAUGCACCAAAUGUAAUAUACAAAAAAUAAACAAAAACAAAACAUUGAACCCUACAAGUUUAAAGUCACAUUGGGAUGAAACAUGCCAAACAAAACUUACACCUUACAAUCAUUCAAUACACCAAAUAAAGUAGCCCUUAUCAUUCAAUACACCAAAUAUAGUAGCCCUAAUCAUUCAUUACACCAAAUCUAGUAGCCCUUAUCAUUCAAUACACCAAAUAUAGUAGCCAUAAUCAUUCAGUACACCAAAUAUAGUAGCCCUAAUCAUUCAAUAUACCAAAUAUAGUAACCAUAACCAUUCAUUACACCGAAUAAAGUAGCCC
RNAcentral lists this long non-coding RNA (351 nucleotides) under Mytilus galloprovincialis (Mediterranean mussel). The record is from RNAcentral. Lineage: Eukaryota; Metazoa; Mollusca; Bivalvia; Mytilida; Mytilidae.